RNAcentral lists this ribosomal RNA (553 nucleotides) under uncultured bacterium. RNAcentral describes it as "partial 16S ribosomal RNA". It matches the Rfam family "Bacterial small subunit ribosomal RNA", at positions 355 to 898 of the family's 1533-position model. The record is from RNAcentral.
UGGGGAAUAUUGCACAAUGGGCGCAAGCCUGAUGCAGCCAUGCCGCGUGUGUGAAGAAGGCCUUCGGGUUGUAAAGCACUUUCAGCGAGGAGGAAGGGUUCAGUGUUAAUAGCACUGUUCAUUGACGUUACUCGCAGAAGAAGCACCGGCUAACUCCGUGCCAGCAGCCGCGGUAAUACGGAGGGUGCAAGCGUUAAUCGGAAUUACUGGGCGUAAAGCGCACGCAGGCGGUUUGUUAAGUCAGAUGUGAAAUCCCCGCGCUUAACGUGGGAACUGCAUUUGAAACUGGCAAGCUAGAGUCUUGUAGAGGGGGGUAGAAUUCCAGGUGUAGCGGUGAAAUGCGUAGAGAUCUGGAGGAAUACCGGUGGCGAAGGCGGCCCCCUGGACAAAGACUGACGCUCAGGUGCGAAAGCGUGGGGAGCAAAACAGGAUUAGAUACCCUGGUAGUCCACGCUGUAAACGAUGUCGACUUGGAGGUUGUGCCCUUGAGGCGUGGCUUCCGGAGCUAACGCGUUAAGUCGACCGCCUGGGGGAGUACGGCCGCAAGGUUAAA